RNAcentral lists this long non-coding RNA (227 nucleotides) under Mytilus galloprovincialis (Mediterranean mussel). Lineage: Eukaryota; Metazoa; Mollusca; Bivalvia; Mytilida; Mytilidae. The record is from RNAcentral.
CUCGGGACAAUAUUUGCUUAUUUAUAUGUGUCCUGGACACAUUUUUCUAUGAAAAACUGUCCUCAGGUAUGAAAAAGUGUCCCUGAAAGUGGACAUAAUUAAAUACUAUACUUCAGUGAUAAGAUGUCCACUUGGACAUUUUUUCACACGACAUUUUUGUCCUCCUGGACUUUUUUUAUAUAUAUGAUUAAAUAACAUUCAUUGCUAAGUUAUAUUACUAAAUGUAU